UACGAAGGGUGCAAGCGUUAGUCGGAAUUACUGGGCGUAAAGCGCGCGUAGGCGGUUUGGUCAGUUGGAUGUGGAAGCCCAGGGCUUAACCUUGGAACUGCAUCCAAUACUGCCAGGCUAGAGUACGGGAGAGGGGGGUGGAAUUCCACGUGUAGCGGGGAAAUGCGUAGAGAUGUGGAGGAAUACCAGUGGCGAAGGCGGCCCCCUGGAUCGAUACUGACGCUGAGGUGCGAAAGCGUGGGGAGCAAACAGG
This 253-nucleotide unclassified non-coding RNA is filed under the name uncultured Oceanospirillales bacterium. RNAcentral describes it as "contains 16S-23S intergenic spacer region". It matches the Rfam family "Bacterial small subunit ribosomal RNA", at positions 524 to 776 of the family's 1533-position model. The record is from RNAcentral. Lineage: Bacteria; Pseudomonadati; Pseudomonadota; Gammaproteobacteria; Oceanospirillales.